UACGUAGGCAGCGAGCGUUGUUCGGAAUUACUGGGCGUAAAGAGUGUGUAGGCGGUGCUCUAAGUUCGGUGUGAAAUCUUCGGGCUCAACUCGAAGUCUGCACGAGAAACUAUCUGGCUUGAGUGUGGGAGAGGUGAGUGGAAUUCCUGGUGUAGCGGUGAAAUGCGUAGAUAUCAGGAGGAACACCUGUGGCGAAAGCGGCUCACUGGACCACAACUGACGCUGAGGCGCGAAAGCUAGGGGGGCAAACAGG
RNAcentral lists this ribosomal RNA (253 nucleotides) under uncultured bacterium. RNAcentral's name for it is "partial 16S ribosomal RNA". It matches the Rfam family "Bacterial small subunit ribosomal RNA", at positions 524 to 776 of the family's 1533-position model. The record is from RNAcentral.